Long non-coding RNA from Monodelphis domestica (gray short-tailed opossum), 1629 nucleotides. Lineage: Eukaryota; Metazoa; Chordata; Mammalia; Didelphimorphia; Didelphidae. The record is from Ensembl.
AGGGACUGCCUUUACUCCUUCCUGAUUGUCUUCCUGUAUUUCUUCCUCUCAAGGAACUGUGUCAGAAUGUGCCAGUUACCCCAUUAUUACCCUGGGAAAGCACUGGAAACAAAGUGAAGUAGAAAUAGCUGCUUUUCAUACAGAAAUUGGGAAAAUAAAUGAUGAGGGGGCUAAUCCUGUAAUAAUUUGGAGAUUCAUAUAUCUGCUUAAUUCUUAACAAUAAGCAUUGAAAAUAGAAGGGGCUACCUUAGGUAAAGUAGUUUGUUAAUCUUAAAUCGUUAUAGAAAUGUUAACUUUUGAUUAAUUGAUUAGGCGACAGUGAGUUUCCAUUCACUGGAAUUCUUUUAGCCAAGGUAGGUGGACCACUUUUUGGAGAAGCUGAUUUGUAGAGGGUAUUCUUCGGUAUAGGCUAUUCUAGAAUCCCUCUAAGUCCCUAUCUUAUUUUGAUAUUCAAUGGAAACUAGAUGUGUAAGAGAGUAAUGAGUGUGUGUGUGUGUGUGUGUGUGUGUGUGUGUGUGUGUGUGUGUGUGUGUGUGAUCCAGUUCCCAGGUGGGAGAGCCUGGAAAGCCAUGAUGCUGGGGAAUGGAAAGACUCUGCCCUCCAAUUUGGAAAGUGCAGUGGGCAGAUGAGAACAUUUUGUUCCAACAUCCUUGAAGAUGGCUGAAGCUGCAAUGGUGGAUUGCUUAGAACUUGAUCAGACAUCAAAGAUGCCAAGGCCAUCCACUGUACCCUGAGUCAUCAAAAACCAUCCUGACUUCUGUUUUGCCACUGGACUUAGAUGACUGGAAGAGAGAGUGAAGCUGAUGACUUUGUGUAACUUUGCCUCAUUUAAAUCCAAAUCAUUCACAAGUCAACUCAUGAUGUGUCAUUGGUUCUCUUCAAAAUGGAAGACAAUAAUAACUCAUAUAGAACCUGACUGUGUCCUGUAACCAAUGCAGUUUUUUCAGUAUAUAGUUUAUGUUUAUCCUCUCAAAGAGGUCUCAUUUUAGGUAGACCAUCUAUAUAUGUUGGUCCUAGGUUUGAAUCAGUAUAAUAGUAUGGUUAAAUCAUAGAAUUUAAAAUUAGAAGGGAUCUUAGCAACCAGUCUAAUCAAUCCAAAGGGAAAAAAAGAAAACUAUUUGUUUUUAAGGAAUUUAUAUCCUAUUAGCAAAGACAACACACAUACAUAUAUAUAUAUAUAUUUAUAUACACAAAUAUAUAAAUAUGUAACAGUUUUUUGACUGUUUAGGAAAGAACACCAGUAAUUAUGGAAGAGGUGAGGAAAGAGUUUGUGUACAAGGUUGUACAAGAACAGAAUCUUGAAGGAAAUCAAGAAUUCUAUGAGGUGGAGGUAAGGAUAGAAGACAUUUAAGACACAGGUGGCAGGCAGUGAAAACAUGGAAAUAGCAGAUGAUAGCUGUGUAUGAAGAAGAAGAAGGCCAUGUUGACUAAUCUGGAAAGUGUGAAAAAGGAAGGACAAUAAUGAAAUUGAAAAGAUAGGUUCAAGCCAGGUGAUAAAGUUUAAAAUGGAAACAUAAGAGUUCUAUAUUUAUUGUAUUCUAGAAACAAUAGGGAGACACUCAUUUUAUAGAAAAGGAAACCGAUAUUCCCAAGAGGGAAAGUGACUUGGCCCAGAUCAUGUGAGAUAGU